AUUGAACGCUGGCGGCAUGCCUUACACAUGCAAGUCGAACGGCAGCACGGGAGCAAUCCUGGUGGCGAGUGGCGAACGGGUGAGUAAUAUAUCGGAACGUGCCCAGUCGUGGGGGAUAACGUAGCGAAAGCUACGCUAAUACCGCAUACGAUCUAUGGAUGAAAGCGGGGGAUCGCAAGACCUCGCGCGAUUGGAGCGGCCGAUAUCAGAUUAGGUAGUUGGUGGGGGUAAAAGCCUACCAAGCCUUCGAUCUGUAGCUGGUCUGAGAGGACGACCAGCCACACUGGAACUGAGACACGGUCCAGACUCCUACGGGAGGCAGCAGUGGGGAAUAUUGGACAAUGGGCGCAAGCCUGAUCCAGCAAUGCCGCGUGUGUGAAGAAGGCCUGCGGGGUUGUAAAGCACUUUCAGUGGGGAAGAACAGAUUCGGGUCAAUACCCCGGAGCCCUGACGUUACCCACAGAAGAAGCACCGGCUAACUCCGUG
This 486-nucleotide ribosomal RNA is filed under the name uncultured bacterium. Its description in RNAcentral is "bacterial SSU rRNA". It matches the Rfam family "Bacterial small subunit ribosomal RNA", at positions 30 to 507 of the family's 1533-position model. The record is from RNAcentral.